Long non-coding RNA from Lingula anatina, 510 nucleotides. The record is from RefSeq and is a predicted model, not a curated record. NCBI's taxonomy places the organism in Eukaryota, Metazoa, Brachiopoda, Lingulata, Lingulida, Lingulidae.
CAUGAGACCCGACAUCGAUACCGGAUACGUGCACACAGUAGCUGGGGUGGGUUAGGAGGGGGUUAACCCCCCCCCCCACCCCCAUACACACAGAUUUCCAACCACACGUCAGUAUUCAGCGGAGAGAGUGUGGUGGACUAACAUUAUAUGCUUUCCUUCAGCUCGAGGUAGACAGUACCAGGGACACUCAGGAAGUUGACUCUAGAUGGCAGCGUUGAUGUUUGUGACAAAACGAUAGAUGCAGAUGAAUGUAUUGAAUUUGUUCUCCAAAAAGAGUGUAUGGAAAAGGAUGUGGUACUGGGUAUAUUGUUGAAACAGGGGAAGAUGGACUUGGAGAACUGAUAUGAUACACUAUAAGAUGUGCUAUCCAGUAAGAUUGCAGCUUCAUCCAGUCACCCCAUACUACAGUACUGUUAUCUGAUGUGCUUUACAAAGUGUGGCUGCCCAAACCAUCUCAGAGCUUUUAACUACUGUAUAACCUGUAGAAUGUGUCAAGGUCAUGAGGGAAGA